GACUGAAAGCUUCUUUAAGGAGAAAGGAUCAACUGCCCCAGUUAUAGAGUGGUGAAUGGUAGAAGCCAUCAGGAUGGCCAAUCUGGUGUCCUGUGCCUUCUUCCUUGAUGUUCAAAACUCACACUCCAAGACAGAUGCAGAAGACUCUGAAAUCCUCAGUAUCUUUUUCACCUUGCAGGCAGUUGAAAAAACUCUGUGGAGAGUUCUUGUAAGCAGCUGGCGGUACACCAGGAUCUCCACUGAAGUAGGGACACCUCUUGAAGUCACUUAAUGUCUGCGUGGAGAUUCACCCAAGAUGUGCUGAAGCCUUGCCAACAGAUCCCUGUUACAGGAAUUACUGGAAACAAGAGAUGCUGGAAAUAAGGGAAAACUAACUGAAGCCCUCUCUGAAAUCAUGAAUUCAGUGAUGCCUUCUGUCUGAGCAAUUGAGAAAAAUGGAAGAGCCAGAUAAGCGGAAUGGAUAUGAGUAGAAUUGAAGCCAGGAUCAAAAACAAUAUGCCAUGAAAUUGGAGGUUUGUGUUGGACUGGCGCCUUAAUUAACAACUUUCUGAAAUAUAGACUGUUGUGAGAAUGUCAAUCUGAAAUGUCAAUUUUGCCUAUUAUAAACUGGAACAGGUUGCCCAGGGAGGUUGUGGAUGCCCCAUUCCUGGAGGCAUUCAAGGCCAGGCUGGAUGUGGCUCUGGGCAGCCUGGUCUGGUGGCUGGUGACCCUGCACAUAGCAGAGGGGGUUGAAACUAGGUGAUCAUUGUGGUCCUUUUCAACCCAGGCCAUUCGAUGAUUCUGUGAUAAAGCCACAUUAACAGGAAUACUGCUUAGUAUAAGAUAAAACAGUGACUGAUGUACAUCCAAUUGUACAAAAUCCUACACAAUGGCAAUUGAUCUGAAGUUUACUUUAUAGUAUUGGACUUAAAGGAUGUCUUCUUCUGCAUUCCACUAAAAGAACAAAGUCUAAAGCUGUUUACCAUUGAAUAGGAGAGCCCUACAGCAGGACCUAAAAUGCAGUUGUGCUGGACAGUGUUUCCUCAGGGACUAAAGAACAGUCUUAAAAACUAGCAGCCAAAGCCAUUAAAGGACAAGGAGAGUAACUAGAAGGGACUUAAGAAUGCUGAAAAGGAUUUGAUGAAAUAAAAAUCACUCACGUGUGCUCCUGCUUUAUGUCUCCUGAAUUUAACAAAUUCUUUUGAGUUUUAUUUACAUGAGAGAGGAUGUCAGGCUUUGGGUGUGCUUGCACAAACUUUGGGAGACUGGAAAAGAUCAGUAGCUUACUUUACAAAAUUAGGUAAGGUAAUCUCUGGAUGUCUGAGGGCAGUGACAGCAGCUGUGUUGCUAAAAUAAAAAGGGCAAGAAUUAACCUUGGGAGAGAAAAUUACUGCCUAUGUAUCACUAUUGUCACAGCACUGCUAGAGCAGAAAGGAUACCACUGGUUAUCCCAAACAGAAUGAUGCAAUACCAAGCAGUACUGCCCAACAAGAGAAAAAAAUGAUUUGAUGGAUGGACCACUUGUUGGAUAAGGAAUUGGCUGGAUGGUAACACUCAAAGUUGCAGUUAAUGAUUCAGAGUCCAAGUGGAGA
This is a long non-coding RNA of Meleagris gallopavo (turkey), 1571 nucleotides long. Lineage: Eukaryota; Metazoa; Chordata; Aves; Galliformes; Phasianidae. The record is from Ensembl.